Molecule: long non-coding RNA, 263 nt
Filed under: Malus domestica (apple)
Lineage: Eukaryota; Viridiplantae; Streptophyta; Magnoliopsida; Rosales; Rosaceae
Description: long non-coding RNA (MDOM_LNC020402)
Source: RNAcentral
UUUGUUUGUUUAUUUUGACUCAUGUAUAUGUACAUAUUUGUGGCUUAUCGAAAAUAUUAAUAAAUAAGCCUUUGCUUCAUUUCAACAUAUUGUGUUAAAUACACCAAAGCCUUCUUCAUAAAGUUCUUUGAAUUUUUGCUUUUGUUGAAACCUGUAUUGUUGAAGCUUUGUGAGUGAAGCAUGUAGUCUGAGGUAGUGUUCCCUUAAUUUCCCGAGUGAGGAAAACUUCUCGGUUGGAGACUUGAAAAAUCCAAGUCACUGAG